GCGGUGAGAGAGCUUGCUUCUCUUGAGAGCGGCGGACGGGUGAGUAAUGCCUAGGAAUCUGCCUGGUAGUGGGGGAUAACGUUCGGAAACGGACGCUAAUACCGCAUACGUCCUACGGGAGAAAGCAGGGGACCUUCGGGCCUUGCGCUAUCAGAUGAGCCUAGGUCGGAUUAGCUAGUUGGUGAGGUAAUGGCUCACCAAGGCGACGAUCCGUAACUGGUCUGAGAGGAUGAUCAGUCACACUGGACUGAGACACGGUCCAGACUCCUACGGGAGGCAGCAGUGGGGAUAUUGGACAAUGGGCGAAAGCCUGAUCCAGCCAUGCCGCGUGUGUGAGGAGUCUUCGGAUUGUA
RNAcentral lists this ribosomal RNA (353 nucleotides) under Pseudomonas veronii. RNAcentral describes it as "bacterial SSU rRNA". It matches the Rfam family "Bacterial small subunit ribosomal RNA", at positions 66 to 427 of the family's 1533-position model. Lineage: Bacteria; Pseudomonadati; Pseudomonadota; Gammaproteobacteria; Pseudomonadales; Pseudomonadaceae. The record is from RNAcentral.